UGCCCUUAGUACGGCGAGUGAGCGGCAAAAGCUCAAAUUUGAAAUCUGGUACCUUCGGUGCCCGAGUUGUAAUUUGGAGAGGGCAACUUUGGGGCCGUUCCUUGUCUAUGUUCCUUGGAACAGGACGUCAUAGAGGGUGAGAAUCCCGUGUGGCGAGGAGUGCGGUUCUUUGUAAAGUGCCUUCGAAGAGUCGAGUUGUUUGGGAAUGCAGCUCUAAGUGGGUGGUAAAUUCCAUCUAAAGCUAAAUAUUGGCGAGAGACCGAUAGCGAACAAGUACAGUGAUGGAAAGAUGAAAAGAACUUUGAAAAGAGAGUGAAAAAGUACGUGAAAUUGUUGAAAGGGAAGGGCAUUUGAUCAGACAUGGUGUUUUGUGCCCUCUGCUCCUUGUGGGUAGGGGAAUCUCGCAUUUCACUGGGCCAGCAUCAGUUUUGGUGGCAGGAUAAAUCCAUAGGAAUGUAGCUUGCCUCGGUAAGUAUUAUAGCCUGUGGGAAUACUGCCAGCUGGGACUGAGGACUGCGACGUAAGUCAAGGAUGCUGGCAUAAUGGUUAUAUGCCGCCCGUCUUGA
This 566-nucleotide ribosomal RNA is filed under the name Saccharomyces cerevisiae (brewer's yeast). Its description in RNAcentral is "eukaryotic LSU rRNA". It matches the Rfam family "Eukaryotic large subunit ribosomal RNA", at positions 75 to 657 of the family's 3401-position model. The record is from RNAcentral. Lineage: Eukaryota; Fungi; Ascomycota; Saccharomycetes; Saccharomycetales; Saccharomycetaceae.